Non-coding RNA from Streptomyces sp. 4F, 48 nucleotides. NCBI's taxonomy places the organism in Bacteria, Bacillati, Actinomycetota, Actinomycetes, Kitasatosporales, Streptomycetaceae. The record is from Rfam.
CACCGAGUCCGAGGCUCCGGACGACACCGGAGCCUGGUGCAAAAGGGA